Non-coding RNA from Marinactinospora thermotolerans DSM 45154, 65 nucleotides. The record is from Rfam. NCBI's taxonomy places the organism in Bacteria, Bacillati, Actinomycetota, Actinomycetes, Streptosporangiales, Nocardiopsidaceae.
GCCGGUCCUCGGUAGUGGUCCUCGGCCCGUCAUGGGCGUGCCGGGGGCUUCGAUCGAUGGCCGGC